Symphalangus syndactylus (siamang) is the source of this 434-nucleotide long non-coding RNA. RefSeq lists it as uncharacterized. The record is from RefSeq and is a predicted model, not a curated record. Lineage: Eukaryota; Metazoa; Chordata; Mammalia; Primates; Hylobatidae.
GCGCGCCAGGUGCGGAGCGGGCGUUGGAAGUUGCUGGCAGUCGGAGGCAGGGGCGCCUGUCACUCGCGGCGAGCGCGGGCGGCGGCCAGGGCGCAAAGUUGAGAGCAGUCUCUAGUCUGAGGCUUUCAGUCGCCCUCCAGUAUCAUCAGUACCACGGACUCCACCUUGCUGCGGCCUCUCAGCAACCCAGUGCACCUGCCACUCGACCAGAGGGAAACCAGUCAGGAGUGGGAGGCCUCUGAACAAACUGUAUUUUGUGUAGUCGCCAGCUUCCAUCUUUCUCCAGGCAGAACGCUGGCCCUCAGCACAUCUUUCUGCUUCCCCUUGGUCAGACCACCAAGAACUGCCACUGUCCUGUCUGACUCCUCCUAUUUUGAUGGGACAGUCUAGUUGCAGGGAAAGAAGCUGAUGCCUCCCACUGAUUCUACAUUAUG